UUCCGGUUGAUCCCGCCGGACCUGACUGCUAUCGGAUUGAUACUAAGCCAUGCGAGUCAUUGUAGUAAUACAAGGCAGACGGCUCAGUAACGCGUAGUCAACCUACCCUAUGGACGGGAAUAACCUCGGGAAACUGAGUAUAAUGCCCGAUAGAACACUAUACCUGGAAUGGUUUGUGUUCCAAAUGAUUUAUCGCCGUAGGAUGGGACUGCGGCCUAUCAGUUUGUUGGUGAGGUAAUGGCCCGCCAAGACUAUUACAGGUACGGGCUCUGAGAGGAGUAGCCCGGAGAUGGGUACUGAGACACGGACCCAGGCCCUAUGGGGCGCAGCAGGCGAGAAAACUUUGCAAUGUGCGAAAGCACGACAAGGUUAAUCCGAGUGGUUUGUGCUAAACGAACCUUUUGACAGUCCUAGAAACACUGUUGAAUAAGGGGUGGGCAAGUUCUGGUGUCAGCCGCCGCGGUAAAACCAGCACCUCAAGUGGUCAGGAUGAUUAUUGGGCCUAAAGCAUCCGUAGCCGGCUCUGUAAGUUUUCGGUUGAAUCUGUACGCUCAACGUACAGGCUGCCGGGAAUACUGCAGGGCUAGGGAGUGGGAGAGGUAGACGGUACUCGGUAGGAAGGGGUAAAAUCCUUUGAUCUAUUGAUGACCACCUGUGGCGAAGGCGGUCUACCAGAACACGUCCGACGGUGAGGGAUGAAAGCUGGGGGAGCAAACCGGAUUAGAUACCCGGGUAGUCCCAGCUGUAAACUAUGCAAACUCAGUGAUGCAUUGGCUUGUGGCCAAUGCAGUGCUGCAGGGAAGCCGUUAAGUUUGCCGCCUGGGAAGUACGUACGCAAGUAUGAAACUUAAAGGAAUUGGCGGGGGAGCACCACAAGGGGUGAAGCCUGCGGUUCAAUUGGAUUCAACGCCGGA
RNAcentral lists this ribosomal RNA (914 nucleotides) under uncultured marine group I thaumarchaeote. RNAcentral's name for it is "bacterial SSU rRNA". It matches the Rfam family "Archaeal small subunit ribosomal RNA", at positions 1 to 922 of the family's 1478-position model. The record is from RNAcentral. Lineage: Archaea; Thermoproteati; Nitrososphaerota.